Molecule: long non-coding RNA, 409 nt
Organism: Anopheles arabiensis
Lineage: Eukaryota; Metazoa; Arthropoda; Insecta; Diptera; Culicidae
Exons: 3
Source: RefSeq, a predicted model, not a curated record
UCAGGUUGUAGUAUAAGUCAUGUAUGGAUGGAUUCCUGUAGAACCAGGCUUCUGCAAUGACAUUCCUGCUCGCAUCCACAUCCGGCAGCUGCCACACUCGAAGCGUUCAUCGUAACCUGCAAUGAUAAUAUAAGUAUAUUCCACAUUUCGUUUAGAUAAAAGUUAUGGGGUUAUUUAUUGAUAUAAAACGUGUUUUAGUUGAUCUUACAGGUUACAAAGGCGAAGAAUUUACGACGAAUCUCGAACAAACAGUACAGAACAACAGCUGACGUUCUUCAAAUAAGUAAUGCAGCUUCAAAUACAGCUGAAAAAUGAAGGUUAUCAGGAAACACAAACAGUUUCUUCGUAAAAGUUUUCUACAGUUCUGAAUUUUAUUUUAACAUGCACAAAAGCGACACGGCUAUCUAUC